AUGCUUGCCAAGGCAAACUCUAGUUACAGGGUUGAACUGAAAGGAGAGAGACAUGAAAGACCUCUGAGAAGGUUCAGGAGAAGUUACAGCCUGAAGAAGCGGAGAGGGGAGAAAAAAAAAAAAAAAGAAAAAUCACCUAAGGAAGAAGGAAUCCAGAAAAAUUUGCUAGCAAGCCAGGGCGGAGCAGCUGGAGCAAGGAGCAGGAGAUGCUGUCUCACCUGGAAGGGAGGAGCCGUAGCAUGCUACUUCUCUGAGUGUGAGCGUCUCCCUGACUUAGCCAGAUCAGCACGGGGGAAGCAUAUAUGCGGCUCAGCCCGACACAGAGUACAAAACUUGAACAACUAGCAAAAGAAUUCGGAAGAGAACGGGCUCGAGCUGGCUUCAACCCACGUAUUCCUUCCUGGCGACUGGGGACGCCCAACAUCGUGACGGUGAGCAUGUUAUAGAGACCGGCAACGGGGAUCACGUUGGUAUUGUGAUUGAACUGUAUAUUGCAAUUGAUAUAUUCUGCUAAGCGUAUACACUUAUAUUGUGGUUUCAGUGUGUUCUGUGUCACUCUGCUAAAUCAAAAAUCCCGUGUAACAUCAAAUACCUUCAGAGUAAACUUUUAUAUUAAACAUUACACACUCUGUGUGUGGAAUAUCUAAAAGAACCUGGUCAGAGAGUAUUGGACUCUGAUACAGGCUUUUUAAAAUCUUAUGGUCUAGAAAAAAAUUCCAUUUUGAAAAAUAGUGUAUUAUGCAACGUUGCAGGUUAGUUAUAGAUUUUGGCUCCUGUAGAUACCUGACCUAACUGACAAAAUAACGUGAAAUUAUGUUUCCCUUUUCAAAAAAAAAGCAUCACCAUUACUUUAAGCAAGUUUUUCUCCAGCUGAACUGUAAUAGAGGGCACAAAAGUUUUUUGGGGGAACGCUAGUUUAGACUGACCUUUAUACCUUGCGGGUAUGCCACUCCAGAUGUUGGCCAGCAACCCCCAAGUAUCUGAUUGAUCCACUAUACAUGGGAUAACAGAGUCUGAGAAUCUAAUAGGACCUGCAGGAAGCUCACCACAGUGCAUAGUACCUUGGUCAGAAUGUAUGCCACUGGGUCUGUGGGACUAUUCACUGGCUCCGUUGAACAGGAAAGUGGCAGGAUCAAGCCUUUAUUAAGCAUGAGCAAGAAAGGUUUAUUAAUUUUGAAGAAUUAACCAAACCACACAUUGAAAGUGGAGUGUCUGCAUUUCCCACAAUACCACUCUCUUCACAGUCCAUUUUCUUUUCUACUUGUUUGAUGAAAUCAGGGUGGAAGCGGGAUUUUGAGUUUUUCAGGGCAUAGCUAUGGCUUUUCAUUAAUUGUCAUCAUUACUAUCAUUACUCAGCACUCAGAAGUGUGAUAGUCACCUCCAGGGACCCAACAGAGACGUUUCUUGUUAUAUUUCCUCUGUGGAGAGUCUUGCGUGAUUUGCAAAUCUAUUAAGCAAUAGCCAAAGAGGAUGCCUAAUUCGGAAUACACUUCUGCAGUCUAUUUAUGGGUAAUUUGGCAUGUGGUUCACAAAUGUGUGGGUAACAUGCUAGAAAUUGCAGGUUGCUGCGUUGACUAACCUCGUCCAAAGUUUGUAAACAGCUAGUUGAAAGCAUAAGUGAAUUUCACUUAAAAUUUUCACUUUAAGCAGGGAGAAGACACCACAGGAGGGACUCAUCUGACUAUGUGCACACUCAAUGAUGUGUACACUCAGGUAUACCUAUGCUGUAGAGGUCUACAAUUAAAUGAUGCAACUCGCAGUCCUAAUGUCUACUGUGUAACUUGGUCAGAAACAAAUUAAAAGGCUGAAAAUAACAGUGUGGCUUCCCUGCCUUUGAUAAGAAGCUUUGAGCUGAUGGGAAGGGGACAAGAAAUAGCGUUUUCCUGAAAGCGCUUGUAGGGUUUGUACUGCAUUACAGCCAAGGUGGGAGGAGAUCUGUACAUGUUCUUAAACCCUGUCUAGUUUCUCUCUUCUACUAAUUUUCCUCAUACACAGAGCAAUCACAUGCCUGCUUCUUACUUCAUUGGACAAGUAAAUAAAAGACAUGUCAUGAGGCA
RNAcentral lists this long non-coding RNA (2057 nucleotides) under Struthio camelus australis. RNAcentral's name for it is "lncRNA (ENSSCUG00000012199.1)". Lineage: Eukaryota; Metazoa; Chordata; Aves; Struthioniformes; Struthionidae. The record is from RNAcentral.